This 585-nucleotide long non-coding RNA is filed under the name Phoenix dactylifera (date palm). RNAcentral describes it as "long non-coding RNA (PDAC_LNC003709)". The record is from RNAcentral. Lineage: Eukaryota; Viridiplantae; Streptophyta; Magnoliopsida; Arecales; Arecaceae.
AUAAAUUAUUGGUGUAGAGGUACAAGGUGUCAAGCAUGGUGAGGUUUCCUAAAGUAGAAGGGAUGGAGCCUGAUAGUUGAUUUUCUGCGAUUCUAGAUGACGUAAGUUGACUAGGUUGCCUAAUUUAUGAGGGAUUGUGCCAGAUAAAUUAUUGGUAUAGAGGUACAAGGUGUCAAGCAUGGUGAGGUUUCCUAAAGUGGAAGGAAUGGGGCCCGAUAGUUGAUUUUCUGCGAUUUCUAGAUGGCGUAAGUUGACUAGGUUGCCUAAUUCAUGAGGGAUUGUGCCAGAUAAAUUAUUGGUGUAGAGGUACAAGGUGUCAAGCAUGGUAAGAUUUCCUAAAGUGGAUGGGAUGGAGCCUGAUAGUUGAUUUUCUGCGAUUCCUAGAUGACAUAAGUUGACUAAGUUGCCUAAUUCAUGAGGAAUGGUGCUAGAUAAAUUAUUAGUGAAGAGGUGUAAAGUGUCAAGCAUGGUGAGAUUUCCUAAAGUGGAAGGGAUGGAGCCUGAUAGUUGAUUUUUUGAGAUUUCUAGAUCACGUAAGUUUAAUAGGUUGCCUAAUUCAUGAGGGAUGGUGCUAGAUAAAUUAUU